Molecule: non-coding RNA, 90 nt
Organism: Caenorhabditis elegans
Lineage: Eukaryota; Metazoa; Nematoda; Chromadorea; Rhabditida; Rhabditidae
Source: Ensembl
CAAAAAGAUUUCUGGAGGUAUGGGGAAUUGAACCCCAGCCCUCUCCCAUGCUAAGGGAGCGCUCUACCACUGAGCUAUACCCCCGCAUGG